RNAcentral lists this ribosomal RNA (459 nucleotides) under uncultured bacterium. Its description in RNAcentral is "partial 16S ribosomal RNA". It matches the Rfam family "Bacterial small subunit ribosomal RNA", at positions 338 to 795 of the family's 1533-position model. The record is from RNAcentral.
CCUACGGGAGGCAGCAGUGAGGAAUAUUGGUCAAUGGCCGGAAGGCUGAACCAGCCAAGCCGCGUGAAGGACGAAGGUGCCAAGCAUUGUAAACUUCUUUUGUCAAGGGACAAAAUCAGGCUCGAGAGCCUGUCCGAGGGUACUUGAAGAAAAAGCAUCGGCUAACUCCGUGCCAGCCGCCGCGGUAAUACGGUGGAUGCGAGCGUUAUCCGGAUUUAUUGGGUUAAAGGGGUGGGUAGGCGGGCCGUUAAGUCAGCGGUAAAAGCCCGGGGCGCAACCCGGGCGAGCCGUUGAAACUGGCUGUCUUGAGAUGUCGAGAGGUAUGCGGAAUGCGCAGGGUAGCGGUGAAAUGCUUAGAUAUUGCGCAGAACUCCGAUUGCGAAGGCAGCAUACCGGCGGCGAUCUGACGCUGAGGCACGAAAGCGUGGGUAUCGAACAGGAUUAGAUACCCGUGUAGUC